AAAUACGACUCUCGGCAGCGGAUAUCUCGGCUCUCGCAUCGAUGAAGGACGUAGCGAAAUGCGAUACUUGGUGUGAAUUGCAGAAUCCAGUGAACCAUCGAGUCUUCGAACGCAAGUUGCGCCCGAGGCCAUUCGGCCGAGGGCACGCCUGCCUGGGCGUCUCG
Molecule: ribosomal RNA, 164 nt
Filed under: Siparuna glycycarpa
Lineage: Eukaryota; Viridiplantae; Streptophyta; Magnoliopsida; Laurales; Siparunaceae
Description: 5.8S ribosomal RNA
Rfam family: 5.8S ribosomal RNA
About the family: 5.8S ribosomal RNA (5.8S rRNA) is a component of the large subunit of the eukaryotic ribosome.
Source: RNAcentral